AGAGUUUGAUCCUGGCUCAGGAUGAACGCUGGCGGCGUGCCUAAUACAUGCAAGUCGAGCGAACGGACGAGAAGCUUGCUUCUCUGAUGUUAGCGGCGGACGGGUGAGUAACACGUGGAUAACCUACCUAUAAGACUGGGAUAACUUCGGGAAACCGUAGCUAAUACCGGAUAAUAUUUUGAACCGCAUGGUUCAAAAGUGAAAGACGGUCUUGCUGUCACUUAUAGAUGGAUCCGCGCUGCAUUAGCUAGUUGGUAAGGUAACGGCUUACCAAGGCAACGAUGCAUAGCCGACCUGAGAGGGUGAUCGGCCACACUGGAACUGAGACACGGUCCAGACUCCUACGGGAGGCAGCAGUAGGGAAUCUUCCGCAAUGGGCGAAAGCCUGACGGAGCAACGCCGCGUGAGUGAUGAAGGUCUUCGGAUCGUAAAACUCUGUUAUUAGGGAAGAACAUAUGUGUAAGUAACUGUGCACAUCUUGACGGUACCUAAUCAGAAAGCCACGGCUAACUACGUGCCAGCAGCCGCGGUAAUACGUAGGUGGCAAGCGUUAUCCGGAAUUAUUGGGCGUAAAGCGCGCGUAGGCGGUUUUUUAAGUCUGAUGUGAAAGCCCACGGCUCAACCGUGGAGGGUCAUUGGAAACUGGAAAACUUGAGUGCAGAAGAGGAAAGUGGAAUUCCAUGUGUAGCGGUGAAAUGCGCAGAGAUAUGGAGGAACACCAGUGGCGAAGGCGACUUUCUGGUCUGUAACUGACGCUGAUGUGCGAAAGCGUGGGGAUCAAACAGGAUUAGAUACCCUGGUAGUCCACGCCGUAAACGAUGAGUGCUAAGUGUUAGGGGGUUUCCGCCCCUUAGUGCUGCAGCUAACGCAUUAAGCACUCCGCCUGGGGAGUACGACCGCAAGGUUGAAACUCAAAGGAAUUGACGGGGACCCGCACAAGCGGUGGAGCAUGUGGUUUAAUUCGAAGCAACGCGAAGAACCUUACCAAAUCUUGACAUCCUUUGACAACUCUAGAGAUAGAGCCUUCCCCUUCGGGGGACAAAGUGACAGGUGGUGCAUGGUUGUCGUCAGCUCGUGUCGUGAGAUGUUGGGUUAAGUCCCGCAACGAGCGCAACCCUUAAGCUUAGUUGCCAUCAUUAAGUUGGGCACUCUAAGUUGACUGCCGGUGACAAACCGGAGGAAGGUGGGGAUGACGUCAAAUCAUCAUGCCCCUUAUGAUUUGGGCUACACACGUGCUACAAUGGACAAUACAAAGGGCAGCGAAACCGCGAGGUCAAGCAAAUCCCAUAAAGUUGUUCUCAGUUCGGAUUGUAGUCUGCAACUCGACUACAUGAAGCUGGAAUCGCUAGUAAUCGUAGAUCAUCAUGCUACGGUGAAUACGUUCCCGGGUCUUGUACACACCGCCCGUCACACCACGAGAGUUUGUAACACCCGAAGCCGGUGGAGUAACCUUUUAGGAGCUAGCCGUCGAAGGUGGGACAAAUGAUUGGGGUGAAGUCGUAACAAGGUAGCCGUAUCGGAAGGUGCGGCUGGAUCACCU
RNAcentral lists this ribosomal RNA (1540 nucleotides) under Staphylococcus aureus. RNAcentral's name for it is "16S ribosomal RNA". It matches the Rfam family "Bacterial small subunit ribosomal RNA". The record is from RNAcentral. Lineage: Bacteria; Bacillati; Bacillota; Bacilli; Caryophanales; Staphylococcaceae.